AACGAACGCUGGCGGCAUGCCUAACACAUGCAAGUCGAACGAGACCUUCGGGCUUAGUGGUGCACGGGUGCGUAACGCGUGGGAACAUGCCCAUAGGUUCGGAAUAACUCCCUGAAAGAGGUCCUAAUACAGGCUAAUGUACUCGGACCAAAGAGUUAUCGCCUUUGGGUGGGCCUGCGUUGGAUUAGCUAGUUGGUAGGGUAUAAGCCUAUCAAGGCGACGAUGCAUAGCUGGUCUGAGAAGAUGAUCAGCCGGACUGGACGUGAGGCACGGCCCAGGAUCCUACGGAAGGGAGCGGUAGGGUGUAUUAGACAAUGAGCGCGAGUGUAGCACAGCAAUGGCGCGUAAGGCAUGAUGGGCUUAGGGUUGUGAAGCUCUUUUACCCGGGGUGUGAAUGACAGUACCGGGAAAAUAAGCACCGGCUAACUCCGUG
Molecule: ribosomal RNA, 433 nt
Filed under: uncultured bacterium
Lineage: Bacteria
Description: partial 16S ribosomal RNA
Rfam family: Bacterial small subunit ribosomal RNA
Source: RNAcentral